Molecule: unclassified non-coding RNA, 460 nt
Filed under: uncultured fungus
Lineage: Eukaryota; Fungi
Description: partial contains 18S rRNA, ITS1, 5.8S rRNA, and ITS2
Rfam family: 5.8S ribosomal RNA (bases 256-409)
Source: RNAcentral
UGCGGAAGGAUCUUAUUGAAAUAAACCUGAUGAGUUGCUGCUGGCUCUCUAGGGAGCAUGUGCACACUUGUCAUCUUUAUAUCUCCACCUGUGCACCUUUUGUAGACCUGGAUAUCUCUCUGAGUGCUUAGCACUUCAGGUUUGAGGAUUGACUUUAUUGUUCUCUCUUUAUAUUUCCAGGCCUACGUUUCUUCAUAUACCCCUUUGUAUGUUAUAGAAUGUAGUAAGUAGGCCUUUGUGCCUAUAAACCUAUACAACUUUCAGCAACGGAUCUCUUGGCUCUCGCAUCGAUGAAGAACGCAGCGAAAUGCGUUAAGUAAUGUGAAUUGCAGAAUUCAGUGAAUCAUCGAAUCUUUGAACGCACCUUGCGCUCCUUGGUAUUCCGAGGAGCAUGCCUGUUUGAGUGUCAUUAAUAUAUCAAUAUCUUCAACUUUGUCGGAGUGUUGGAUGUGGGGGUUUA